RNAcentral lists this ribosomal RNA (254 nucleotides) under uncultured bacterium. RNAcentral's name for it is "partial 16S ribosomal RNA". It matches the Rfam family "Bacterial small subunit ribosomal RNA", at positions 524 to 776 of the family's 1533-position model. The record is from RNAcentral.
UACAGAGGGUGCGAGCGUUGUCCGGAAUCACUGGGCGUAAAGGGCGCGUAGGUGGUGGCUUAAGCGUGCGGUGAAAGCUCGGGGCUCAACUCCGAGUCGGCCGUGCGAACUGGGCUCACUGGAGCAUAGUAGAGGCAGGUGGAAUUCCGGGUGUAGCGGUGGAAUGCGUAGAGAUCCGGAAGAACACCGGUGGCGAAGGCGGCGACCUGGGUAGAUACUGACGCUGAGGUGCGAAAGCGUGGGGAGCAAACAGG